UCCGAUCUCGUGGACUAGUUCCAAUCGGCUGCUUCAAUCUUUCUCUUCCUCGGCCCCCCGCCUCCAGAUUGCAUCCCGUCGAGCAAUCGCCUCGUUAGGCUGCGGUAAUCCCUUCUAUUUUCCGUGACAAUCGCCUUUCGUACUCCUGCGUGGCAACUAAUUUUGGUUUCUUCCGGUCCUUGGAUGAAAAUAUCGACAAUCGGAGGCUAUGGUUUUUGAUUGAUUGAGCUUGUACAAAAAGAAAUGCCUCGGACGGUAUCUCGAUCUCCUUCUUAUAGGAGAAGGCGCUCUCCUUCUCCCCGGUACAGCAGCAGGAGGAGCAGAAGGGAUCGCAGCCGAUCCCCCUAUUCUUAUAGAAGAAGUCGUUCUCCUUCACCAAGAUGGCGAAAGAGUCACUCUCCAAGUCCUCAAAGAAGAGUUAGUCGAUCUCCGCCACCAAGAAGACACAGAAGGCAGAGGAGUAGGAGCAUAUCAAAUUCGGUCUUAAGCAAGUCUGACAGCCCUAGUCUUGAUUUGCAUGAAAGACAAAGAUUGGAAGAGGAGAAGAAACGGUAAGAGUUUAUCUUCUACUCUGGAGAGGAUCUUGAGGCUUUAGUUUAGUCGCAAUACUUCUGUUCUGUGCAUUUUAUGGCGUGAGAGUGCGUGUGAGGAGGAGGGAGGUGGUGCAGCUGGAACCAUUGUUCAAAUUAAUUUGUGAAGCGUGUGUUUGAAGUUUCAACCUUUAUUUUACUUGUAAAUAAGAAAGAUGAAUAUAGCAGGGUCUGUGUUAGCGAAGAAUAAAAAGGGGACACCCUUGACAAUUCCUAUGUUUAGACUGCUACGACACUCAUUCCUUCAAAGCAGUUGAUAACUAAAGUUUCUAGUGUCCUGAAUUUAUGAAACUACUUCACCUUCAGUUAGUGUUCUUUGGUGGGGGACUGGACUUGCUAGCUUGACCAAGUCAACCAAAAUUUGGUGCCAAAUUCAGUAAUUUGGAGCCCUAUAGCAGUUAUAGAUCACUUAACUCUGUUUGAGGAUCAAUCAAACCACAUGACGACCUGGACCAACUGACAUGGUUUUAAUUUUUCUUCUUUAUUUUCAGUCUGGAUUUCCUGAGCUGGGGAGCUAAUGCCCUGAACAACCCAGUGGCAUGUCCCAAUUUAAAAACAGUGCAGUCAGUGGCAUUUGCUAUUUGUUUGCUCGUUGGAUUUUGAAAAGCACUUCUAAUUUUACCUGCACUUCCAAGUGAAAAAAAAUGAAAAAGAAAUAAAAGAAUGGGAAAUUGCACUGUCUCUGCCUUCGAUGGUUGCAAAUUGAGAACUUGUAUAGUGUGGCGGCUGUGUAUUAAUGAUGGAGAAAUUGUUGUGUUUAAGUGACUAGUUUUAAACCUGUACAAGUUACUUGACAUUUUCUUCCACAGGCUAUUCUCAAGGAAGCUACUGGUAUAGUUCAACUUGUUAUAUUUGAUGAUGCAAUUGGUGCCUGCUUUAUCUACUGUUCACCAGUUUGAUAAUUCAUUUGUUUGGAUCUGGAUUCUUUAGAGGUAUGCCUAAAAAACAUAAUCUUGUAUUUUAGGAAGGCUUGGCAAAUCAUGAUUAAUUUAACUUAUCAUGCUGUUCGGUGAUCUAGUUCAAGGCUGUUCAUCUGGCUUAUGAGAAUAUCCCCAGACUACAUUUUGUUGCUUUUUUUUUUUUGACGACAGUUCUCUUGUUAACAUCCUUAUUCCACGAACAGGCGACAAAAGGAAGCAGAACUGAAACUCAUAGAAGAAGAAACUGCUUUGCGGAUUGAGGAAGCUAUCAAAAAGAAGGUUGAGGAGUCUCUAAACUCCGAGGAGAUCAAGCUUGAGAUACAAAGACGAAUUGAAGAAGGCCG
This is an RNA transcript of Zingiber officinale, 1854 nucleotides long. RefSeq lists it as uncharacterized. Lineage: Eukaryota; Viridiplantae; Streptophyta; Magnoliopsida; Zingiberales; Zingiberaceae. The record is from RefSeq and is a predicted model, not a curated record. The transcript has 3 exons.